This 60-nucleotide transfer RNA is filed under the name Gammarus lacustris. RNAcentral describes it as "tRNA-Pro". Lineage: Eukaryota; Metazoa; Arthropoda; Malacostraca; Amphipoda; Gammaridae. The record is from RNAcentral.
CAAAAAGUAGUUUAUACAAAAUAGUAGUUUUGGAUAUUACAGAAAAGGAAUUCUUUUUGA